AUGGCGGCGCAAAUGAAGGCUUUCUUUGAUUCCACGGGGAGUUUGUGGCAGGGGCAUAAGCUUUCCAGGAAACCGGCUGGGUUCUUUGUUAGUACCGGUACUCAAGGUGGCGGUCAAGAAACCACCGCGAAAUUUCUUCUACUGCAUCAGAGAGUAAUCUCAGCUUUUCCAUGGCUUAAGUUGAUGAGUAUGAACAAGAGAGAUCUUAUGGUUCCAUAUGGAGUUAUCAUUACAAAUGUUUCUGAAGAUAUUCGAUUCGAUAAAGCUUAA
Molecule: non-coding RNA, 270 nt
Organism: Vicia faba (fava bean)
Lineage: Eukaryota; Viridiplantae; Streptophyta; Magnoliopsida; Fabales; Fabaceae
Source: the annotation of a GenBank genome assembly